RNAcentral lists this ribosomal RNA (253 nucleotides) under uncultured bacterium. RNAcentral describes it as "partial 16S ribosomal RNA". It matches the Rfam family "Bacterial small subunit ribosomal RNA", at positions 524 to 776 of the family's 1533-position model. The record is from RNAcentral.
GACGGAGGGUGCAAGCGUUGUUCGGAUUGACUGGGCGUAAAGGGCGUGUAGGCGGUUGGUCAAGUCUGGUGUGAAAGCCCGGGGCUCAGCUCCGGAAGUGCAUCGGAAACUAGCCGACUGGAGCGCGAUAGAGGAGGGUGGAAUUCCUGGUGUAGCGGUGAAAUGCGCAGAUAUCAGGAAGAACACCCGUGGCGAAGGCGGCUCUCUGGGACGGUACUGACGCUGAGACGCGAAAGCGUGGGGAGCGAACAGG